AAUCGACUCCGAGCCGUCAGGCCUAAGGCUCAGGGCUAUGGCCAGCGGCCGGGGCCACGCUGUCGUGGCCGAGGGUUCGCCGGGAAACCGGAGGGCCUCCCGCGUUCGGAAAGGAGUGUUUGA
This 123-nucleotide non-coding RNA is filed under the name marine eukaryotic metagenome. Its description in RNAcentral is "Moco (molybdenum cofactor) riboswitch". It matches the Rfam family "Molybdenum/Tungsten riboswitch aptamer (Moco RNA motif)", at positions 12 to 120 of the family's 135-position model. The record is from RNAcentral.